AGAGUUUGAUCAUGGCUCAGGGCGAACGCUGGCGGCGUGCUUGACACAUGCAAGUCGAACGGGGAAAGGAGCUUCGGCUCUGAUUACCAGUGGCGAACGGGUGAGUAACACGUGGAAACAUACCCAUUGCAGGGGGAUAACUACUUGAAAAGGUAGCUAAUACCGCAUAAAAUCUACGGAUAAAAGGUGCAAAUGCAUCGGCAGUGGAGUGGUCCGCGGACCAUCAGCUAGUUGGUAGGGUAAGGGCCUACCAAGGCGACGACGGAUAGCCGGCGUGAGAGCGUGGCCGGCCACAAGGACACUGAGAUACGGGUCCUACUUCUACGGGAGGCAGCAGUGCGGAAUUUUGGUCAAUGGAGGAAACUCUGAACCAGCGACGCCGCGUGUAUGAUGAAGGUCUUCGGAUUGUAAAAGACUGUGGUAAGGGAAAAGUAGCUCAUAGAGUGGAAAGCUAUGAGAAAGAGAUGGUACCUUACUAGAAAGCCCCGGCUAACUACGUGCCAGCAGCCGCGGUAAUACGUAGGGGGCAAGCGUUGCCCGGAAUCACUGGGCGUGAAGGGAGCGUAGGCGGCCUAGAAAGUCUACUGUGAAAAAUCGGAGCUCAACUCUGAUCUUGCGGUAGAAACUAAUAGGCUUGAGGACGGUAGAGGAAAACGGAACAGCUGGUGUAGGGGUAAAAUCCUUAGAUAUCAGCUGGAACGCCGGUGACGAAGGUGGUUUUCUGGGCCGGACCUGACGCUGAGGCUCGAAAGCCAGGGUAGCGAACGGGAUUAGAUACCCCGGUAGUCCUGGCCCUAAACGAUGUUCACUAGGUGUGGGGUACGUAAAGUAUUCCGUGCUAAAGCUAACGCAAUAA
This 856-nucleotide ribosomal RNA is filed under the name uncultured bacterium. RNAcentral's name for it is "bacterial SSU rRNA". It matches the Rfam family "Bacterial small subunit ribosomal RNA", at positions 8 to 863 of the family's 1533-position model. The record is from RNAcentral.